RNAcentral lists this ribosomal RNA (274 nucleotides) under uncultured bacterium. RNAcentral describes it as "partial 16S ribosomal RNA". It matches the Rfam family "Bacterial small subunit ribosomal RNA", at positions 523 to 796 of the family's 1533-position model. The record is from RNAcentral.
AUACGAAGGGGGCUAGCGUUGUUCGGAAUUACUGGGCGUAAAGCGCGCGUAGGUGGAUGUAUAAGUCAGAUGUGAAAGCCCUGGGCUCAACCUAGGAACUGCAUUUGAAACUGUACGUCUAGAGUAUGGUAGAGGUGAGUGGAAUUUCAGGUGUAGCGGUGAAAUGCGUAGAGAUCUGAAGGAACAUCAGUGGCGAAGGCGACUCACUGGGCCAUUACUGACACUGAGGUGCGAAAGCGUGGGUAGCAAACAGGAUUAGAAACCCCAGUAGUCC